GAUGGCUUCAGCUACCUGGCCGCCAUGGGUCUAGGCGCCCGUAAAGCCAGGUGCAGGAGGAUGGGGUUCCCAGUCCUGCCAGAACAGCCUACAAUCUUGGAAUCAGACUGCCUGGGUUCAGUUCUUACAAGCUGCUGUGGCUUUGGAAUGGCUCUGACCAGCUGACUAGGCCAGCAUUGAGGAUAAGCC
Dama dama (fallow deer) is the source of this 189-nucleotide long non-coding RNA. RefSeq lists it as uncharacterized. The record is from RefSeq and is a predicted model, not a curated record. NCBI's taxonomy places the organism in Eukaryota, Metazoa, Chordata, Mammalia, Artiodactyla, Cervidae. The transcript is spliced from 3 exons.